CAACAAAAUAGAAUUUUUAAAUGUUUGCUUACGUAUAGUUAAGUAUUUGUUAAUCUAUUAAUAUUCAAAAUUUUGAAUACAUAAGGUGAUUGAACACGCGGUAUUGCGCGAGUAGCGGCAAAUGUGUCAACUACCUAUUUAAAUUUAUAUUUGUUGAACAGUCGGUAAAGUAGAGAUUAUUAGAUGAUAAAAUCUACGUUUAUGCAGGUAACGUCAAUUUUUAUUUACUUACAAUGAUCCUUAUUGAUUUUUAUAUAAAAUAUCAAGUUUCUAGAAAACAUAAAAUCUUUGUAAUUAUUGCUUAUGAAGAGAAUUUCCUUCAGAAAUGGGAAUAUAGACCGAAGCACGGUAAAUAGCCGAGAAAGCGGUCAUUGCCAGUCUUGGGUCAUUGCUAUACGAGGAGAAAGCUUAUAGGUAAUCAGGUUUUUUACAAUACUAUUCUUCAAAAGUAAAUUACGAAUGUCCAUCAAAGUAACGAAACCAGUCUAACUUGAGCGAAGUGAAAUCUGAAAGAAUGUACUUUUGCAUAAGGUAAGUUCACUCUUCUUAUCUGAAAUAAGGAUAAUAAUAAAUUUCAUGUAACUAUUCGUAAUCAUCCAUAGAUGAUUAACAAGAAGGAAACAAUGAGAGACAGUAGUGAAAGGUUAAGUUUAACGAGGUCAACGACUGACAAUAUAAACAAGCUCAACGAAUGACACGCCGGUUAAUAGGUACAUCCGAGUUUUAUUGUCGCUGCGUGUUACGACGAUUCCUCUGACGAGUAACGUUACCACGAAGCAGAAGUUCGCUGCGUCGUAUGCCACCGUUAUCAGUCAUCAACCUAAUUGCAAUUGACUUGUACUAUAUGUUGGAGACUGUGGUCGUGCAAUGAAAAAACCACCGUGUAUACCAGUGGGGAAAACGAAGUCAAUCUGCGAAAUCGAGCCCAGCAUUAACAUGAAGCCAACAAUUAUGGCGGUCAGCUGUAGGAGGCCACUUUUCUCGUUAGCUCUUUCGCGUGCGAGCACC
Osmia bicornis bicornis is the source of this 1008-nucleotide long non-coding RNA. RefSeq lists it as uncharacterized. The transcript is spliced from 3 exons. The record is from RefSeq and is a predicted model, not a curated record. Lineage: Eukaryota; Metazoa; Arthropoda; Insecta; Hymenoptera; Megachilidae.